Long non-coding RNA from Mytilus californianus (California mussel), 2295 nucleotides. RefSeq lists it as uncharacterized. The transcript has 3 exons. NCBI's taxonomy places the organism in Eukaryota, Metazoa, Mollusca, Bivalvia, Mytilida, Mytilidae. The record is from RefSeq and is a predicted model, not a curated record.
CUGAAAUUGUACCACAAGGUUCCAUAUCACACAGGAAAUGCUGGGAUUGAUAUUGGGGGUUAUUGCCUCAAAAUUUUAGGAAUUAGGGGCAAAAAAGGGGCAAAAAACAAGCAUUUUUCUAGUUUCAUGACAAUAACUUGUGUGUAAGGGUAUGGAUCUCUCUGACAUUGUAUCACAAGUUUCCAUACCACAAAGGGAAUGGUGGGAUUGAUUUUGAGGGUAAUUGCCUCCAAAUUUUAGGAAUUAGGGGCCAAAAAGGGGCAAAAAACAAGCAUUUUUCUAGUUUCAUGACAAUAACUUGUGUGUAAGUGUAUGGAUCUUUAUGAAAUUGUACUAAAAGGUUCCAUAUCACAAAGGGAAAGCUGGGUUUGAGUUUGGGGGUAAUUGCCCUAAAUGUUUAGGAAUUUGGGGCCUAAAAGGGGCCAAAAAACAAGCAUUUUUAUACGCCCAUCAAAUUUUUUACGGGACGUAUAAUGUUAUACAAAUGUCCGGCGUCCGUCCGUCUGUCUGUCCGGCGUAAACAUGUCGCACCGUAACUUGAGAAUGACUUAUCCAAAUUUCAUGAAACUUAACAUAGUUGUUUCUUAUGAUGGUCAAACGAUCUGUAUACUUUUUGGUGAGAAUAAGAUUAAAACUUUUUGAGUUACGGGACUUAGUAACUAAAACAGGUGUGUGUUUUUUUUUACAUGUCGCGCCGUAUCUCAAAAACAAUUUAAGAUUAUUGCUUAAAACUUUACACACUUCUUAGUUAUAUUAAUCUUAAGAUCUGUAUACUUUUUGGUGAUGAUUCAAAAUUUUAUUUUAGAGAUAUUGAGUAUUUUGUUAAAAAAGGGGGAGGGGUUUUUCACAUGUCGCGCCAUAUCUCAAAAACAGUUUAUGAUUAUUGCUUAAAACUUUACACACUUUUUAGUUAUAUUAACCUUAAGAUCUGUAUACUUUUUGGUGAUGAUUCAAAAUUUUAUUUUUGUGUUAUUGAGUAUUUUGUAAAAAAAGGGGGAGGGGUUUUUCACAUGUCGCGCUGUAUCUCUAAAACGAUUUAUGAUUAUUACUUAAAAUUUUACACACUUCUUAGUUAAAUUAAUCUCAAGAUCUGUAUACUUUUUGGUUUUUAUUCAAAAUUUUAUUUUAGAGAUAUUGAGUUUUUUGUAAAAAAAAAAGGGGGUUUUCGCAUGUCACGCUGUAAGUCAGAAACUAUUUAUGCUUAUUGCAUAAAAAUUCACACACAAGACGACGGGCGUAUCAUGCGCUCAUGGCGCAGCUGUUUAUUCUAGUUUCCAGACAAUAACUUGUGUUCAAGUGUAUGGAUCUCUCUGAAAUUGUACUGCAAGGUACCAUACCACAAAGGGAAAGCUGGGAUUGAGUUUGGGGGUGAUGAAUCAUAAGGGGGUUCAAAAAAUUGGGGGAGGGGGGGGAUUUUUUUUUCUUUAAAAUUUUCCAUUUUAAAUUGUUUUUUUCUGAUUUAUAUAUAAAAGCAAAUAAUAAUGAUAUGGUAAGAAUAGGUAAAUUAAAAUUUUUUAAGUUCUUAGACCACUUUCAUUCUGUGUGAGAAACCUAUGCUGUGUCAAAUAUUUAAUUACAAUCCAAAUUCAGUGCUGUAUCAAGCUUGAAUGUUGUGUCCAUACUUGCCCCAACUGUUCAGGGUUCGACCUCUGCGGUUGUAUCAAGCUGCGCCCCAGCGGAGCAUUUUAUUGGCUUAUAUCUCAAAAACUAAAUCUUUUAGAGCAAAUGUGACAUGGGGUAAAAUUGUUUAAUUGGUCAAGAUCUAUCGGCCCUGAAAUUAUCAGACGAAUGGAACAACCCAUUGUUGGGUUGCUGCCACCGAAUUGGUAGUUUUAACAAAAUUUUGCAGUUUUUAUAUGACCGCAAAAAAAUUUUGCGGUCGUAUAUUGGUAUGACGUUGGCGUCGAUGUCGUCGUCCGAAGACACAUUGGUUUUCGCACUCUAACUUUAGUUUAAGUGAAUGGAUCUCUUUGAAAUUUUACCAUAAGGUUCAAUACCACAAAAGGAAGGUGGGGAUUGAUUUUGGGGGUUAUGGUACCAACAGUUAAGGAAUUAGGUGCCAAAAAGGGGCCAAAAAUAAGCAUUUUCUAGUUUCCAGACAAUAACUGUGGAACGAAGUAUGGAUCUCUCUGAAAUUAUACUACAAGUUUCCAUACCACAAAGGGAUGGUUAGGAUUUGCUUUGGGGGGUUAAGGCUCAAACCGUUUAGGAAUUAGGGGCAAAAAAGGGGGAAAAACAAGGGUGUCCUGGUUAAUGGACAAAUACUUUAGUACAAAACAUAAUUUAAAGCAGUGU